This 253-nucleotide ribosomal RNA is filed under the name uncultured bacterium. RNAcentral's name for it is "partial 16S ribosomal RNA". It matches the Rfam family "Bacterial small subunit ribosomal RNA", at positions 524 to 776 of the family's 1533-position model. The record is from RNAcentral.
UACGUAGGUGGCAAGCGUUGUCCGGAUUUACUGGGCGUAAAGCGUGCGCAGGCGGAUUGUUAAGUAGGGAGUGAAAGGUUGGGGCUCAACCCUAACACUGCUCCCUAUACUGGCAGUCUUGAGUGGCGGAGAGGAAGAUGGAACGACACGUGUAGCGGUGAAAUGCGUUGAUAUGUGUCGGAACACCAAUGGCGAAAGCAAUCUUCUGGACGCAAACUGACGCUCAUGCACGAAAGCCAAGGUAGCAAACAGG